RNAcentral lists this unclassified non-coding RNA (150 nucleotides) under soil metagenome. RNAcentral's name for it is "partial internal transcribed spacer 1". The record is from RNAcentral.
CCGAGUUUACAACUCCCAAACCCCUGUGAACAUACCUACUUGUUGCCUCGGCGGAUCAGCCCGCUCCCCGGUAAAACGGGACGGCCCGCCCGAGGACCCCUAAACUCUGUUUUAUAGUGUAACUUCUGAGUAAAACAAACAAAUAAAUCA